This 966-nucleotide ribosomal RNA is filed under the name Psychrobacter sp. M14(2015). Its description in RNAcentral is "bacterial SSU rRNA". It matches the Rfam family "Bacterial small subunit ribosomal RNA", at positions 438 to 1396 of the family's 1533-position model. The record is from RNAcentral. Lineage: Bacteria; Pseudomonadati; Pseudomonadota; Gammaproteobacteria; Moraxellales; Moraxellaceae.
AGCAGUGAAGAAGACUCCGUGGUUAAUACCACGGACGAUGACAUUAGCUGCAGAAUAAGCACCGGGCUAACUCUGUGCCAGCAGCCGCGGUAAUACAGAGGGUGCAAGCGUUAAUCGGAAUUACUGGGCGUAAAGCGAGCGUAGGUGGCUUGAUAAGUCAGAUGUGAAAUCCCCGGGCUUAACCUGGGAACUGCAUCUGAUACUGUUAGGCUAGAAUAGGUGAGAGGAAGGUAGAAUUCCAGGUGUAGCGGUGAAAUGCGUAGAGAUCUGGAGGAAUACCGAUGGCGAAGGCAGCCUUCUGGCAUCAUAUUGACACUGAGGUUCGAAAGCGUGGGUAGCAAACAGGAUUAGAUACCCUGGUAGUCCACGCCGUAAACGAUGUCUACUAGUCGUUGGGUCCCUUGAGGACUUAGUGACGCAGCUAACGCAAUAAGUAGACCGCCUGGGGAGUACGGCCGCAAGGUUAAAACUCAAAUGAAUUGACGGGGGCCCGCACAAGCGGUGGAGCAUGUGGUUUAAUUCGAUGCAACGCGAAGAACCUUACCUGGUCUUGACAUAUCUAGAAUCCUGCAGAGAUGCGGGAGUGCCUUCGGGAAUUAGAAUACAGGUGCUGCAUGGCUGUCGUCAGCUCGUGUCGUGAGAUGUUGGGUUAAGUCCCGCAACGAGCGCAACCCUUGUCCUUAGUUACCAGCGGGUUAAGCCGGGAACUCUAAGGAUACUGCCAGUGACAAACUGGAGGAAGGCGGGGACGACGUCAAGUCAUCAUGGCCCUUACGACCAGGGCUACACACGUGCUACAAUGGUAGGUACAGAGGGCAGCUACACAGCGAUGUGAUGCGAAUCUCAAAAAGCCUAUCGUAGUCCAGAUUGGAGUCUGCAACUCGACUCCAUGAAGUAGGAAUCGCUAGUAAUCGCGGAUCAGAAUGCCGCGGUGAAUACGUUCCCGGGCCUUGUACACACCGCCCG